UAAGGCCAAUGCUUUUCUAAGUACAACUUCCCGCUCUGGCAAGAGAAUGGCAGUGUAUUACUCUCUGUAUUUGGAUUACUAUCAUGCUUUCCACCUACUUACACUUCACUUGCAAUUUAGGAUAAGUAGAGUCAUCAUCUUCAUUUUAUGCCCCAAGCCUUUGUCUAAUACAGCUGUGUGGUGUUAACAGCUGCUGGUUUUUAUCAUAGAAGUGGCUGCAUUUUAGGAAUAGGCAAUGAGAUUUUUGCUUUCCAGCUCGUUCAACUGGCUUAUGAAGCAUUCUGUAGAUCCAGGUCUGUUAUGUAUUAAGAUGCACUGGAAUGAAAGAAGGGCCUGAUCCUGCAUCCUGAGGAACUCACGGUAUUGGAGGUGCAGGGGAAGGAUGGGAACAUCUGUGCUCUCUGCACUGAGGGACCACAGGUCCAUGAAGAUGCUUUGAAUUUAUGCUAGAUGGUUUCUUUUGAGAAAUUGCCCAUAGCUGAUGCAGAAAAUACUCUUUGUCUGCAGUAUAUAAGAGAAUGCAGGCAAUUUAUCAGGGUGAGACUCCCUGUGUAGUUCAUAUACUCUGUACAAAAACUAGAGUCCAGCCUUGCUGACAGAGUCUGGCAAGGAGAUUUCCAUGAAGUGAAGGUGGUAUGCUCUUCACUGCUGGACUCAGCUGUGUAGGGUGGCUAUAAAACACUGCAAACUGUUCAAAUUUCCUUAUAUUAGGAAUGUGGAUUGUGAAAAUGUACAGAAGAGUUAUGAGAAUGUACGGCUGAGUUAUUUCUGCUCCUCACUUCUCUGUCAUAUAGCUGAGCCUGCAAGCUCCAGCAUCUCAGCUGCCAGGAGAACUGUUGUUAUCACCACAGCAGGGCAUUUCGGGGGCUGGUGUUAAUACCCUGAAGUGACUGGUGCUCACUAACAAUUACAGUGAAAAAUACAAUAAUACUCUUGAAUUACCUCACAUUUGUUCAAAUGCAUGUGCGUAGAGGGGAAGGAAAUUUGGGAUGAUGAUUGGCAUUUAGCCUCCCAUACUCAUAUGCAGAAAAAUUAAUGUGGUGUUCAGUUCACCCCCCCUCACACACACAGCCCUGUGUCACCAUAAAAGUAAGCCUCCAGCGAUAUGAAAUAGUCACAGUAUUGUAGUUGCACAGUUUUUCCUCUCAAAAAGCCUUGUGGCAGCCAGGCCUGGCCUUUGAAUUGAACGGGUUAUUCUGGCAACAGAGCUAACUGAAUUAAUUCAGUGUAAAUGGGGCUGGAAUAUUCCAGGGUGUGUAAAUAAAACUACACUGCUAUUUAGAAAAGUUGCAUUAUUCCAAGUGCUCUCUUGGAAGGGAAAAACAUUCCUCCAACAGACAUCCUGAAUACUGAACUUAGCUUGACUGACUCAAAAAAAGUAUAGUAAGUUUUAUGGUCUCAGCCUGUAUGCAUUUUUAGACUUAGAAAUUCUGACUGAAGUCAGUAGAAGACCUUUGAUUCAUUAGUAAUGCAGGAUCAGAUCCUCUCAUAGGUGAAAGACAUAACAAAGGCUAAGGAAACGGCAACUUCCCCUUUCUUCAUCAUGCCACAUGGUGACUUUUUUCUGUGAUCAGACACAAGUGCAAUGAUUGAGAAAGAAAGGUCUUAACACUUAUAAGAAAGGCUGAAAAUAGAAGAUAUUCUAAUGACAGCUAGAAGAAGGGAAUAAUGUUGAUAUAAUUGGAGUAGACAAAGGAUGUUCACUUUGUGACACAUUCUGAGAAACAUCCAGGAGCAUUUGUUAUGCCAAAGCAGGUUCAUGGUUCAGUGAAAAUGCCAUCUUCCGUUGGGGAAGUAAGCAGAAGAGGCAGCACUCCCCGAGCAGACAAGGGAACAAAAAUAGUUCAGGGUUCCAGAGCAGAUGAUUGUGUACAAGUGUAGAUGUAUUAUUGUGAUAAUAAUGCUAUGCUAAGUGUUCGUGGCAUACCAUUUUCCUUUAGUGGCUGAUUCACUGAGGAAUCAUUAAAUACUAAUGCUAUUUUGUAAUAUAGGGAUGUUUCAAAAUCACUUGAAGACAGCAGUGUUAGGAUGUCCUACCUCCUCCUCAUGUCGUUGGUACUUAGGAACCAGAGCAUACUUGUAUGUUUAUUUCUGUAUUUAAAAUACAUGAUAAGAAAGCA
Coturnix japonica (Japanese quail) is the source of this 2120-nucleotide non-coding RNA. The record is from RefSeq and is a predicted model, not a curated record. Lineage: Eukaryota; Metazoa; Chordata; Aves; Galliformes; Phasianidae.